RNAcentral lists this long non-coding RNA (2886 nucleotides) under Vitis vinifera (wine grape). Its description in RNAcentral is "long non-coding RNA (VVIN_LNC003559)". The record is from RNAcentral. Lineage: Eukaryota; Viridiplantae; Streptophyta; Magnoliopsida; Vitales; Vitaceae.
AGAAAAUGGGGAUGGAGGGGGGCGGGAGGAUGAAAAAGGCAUCGGCGUCACGCCGCCGACACUGUGAGAGUUUAAGGAGGGAAAUAGAAAAUAAUAAUAAUAGUAAAUAAAUAAAUGAAAAUGAAAAUGGAAGAAAGAAGUUGGGGGGAAGAAGAAAUGGGAGGAAAGAAUGAGCCGACGUGUGUUGUUGGGAAGGGGAAAAAAAAUAAAAAAAUGGAAGGGAGGAGCUGGGGAGAUGGUCGUCGGGUGUGUUCUGUUGGGGGAGAGAAAAAAAGAAAAAAAAACAUGGGGAGUAGAAAAAAAAUGGCGAGAGCCGUGUGGGUCUUUUUUGGGCAGAGAAAGGGCUGGAGAAAAAAUGGGUUGUAGAGUUGGGAACAUGAUAGAGAUGGAAAAAGGGGGAAGAGCAGAAGGAUGAGGGCCCUUAGCGUGUUGGAGUAAGGGAGUGAGAGGGAAAAAAUGGGGGGAAAAGGAAAAGAGAAUAAAAAAAAUAAAAAAUAAAAUAAAAAGGGAGAGAUUUUGGUGGUGGCCGGUGGUGAGGGGUAUGGGAGGAGAGAGAAGGAGUGGGUAGGUGAAGGUAGGUGGAGGAGAAAAAAGGAAGAGAGAGAAGAGAGAAAAAAAUAAAAUAAUAAAAUAGAAAAUUAAUAAAAUAAAAUAAAAAUAUAAAAAUAUAAUAUAAUAUCAUAAUAAUAAUAAAAUAAAAUGAAUAAAUAAAAAUAAAAUAAUAAUAAUAAUAAUAAUAAUAAAUAAAAAAUAAAACAAAAAAUAAAAAAUAAAAAAUAAUUUACAAAAUAAUAAAGACUAAAAAUUAAAGGGUGAAUGGGCUUAAAAUAACACAUGUAAUCAGGAUUUAAAAUUGGGCUCAAAAUUAAUGUAAAAAUAAAAUUGGGACAAAUUUUAGGGUCUACACCUAUCUUAUUCUAUCAUGUCAACUAAACGUAGGCUAUAUUUAUAUAAUAAUAAUAAUAAUAUAAAUAUCAAUACUAAUAAUUAAAUAAUAAUAAGACAAUCACCAUUUGUGCAUGCUACAAUAAUAUAUAUAAUAACAUGCUAUGCUUUGAGUCUUUUCCAUUAUAUGGUAUACAUCAAAACAUAAGACGAAUAGAUGAUGAUGGUCUUAUUAUUAUUUAAUCACAAUUAUUGAUAUGACUUAAAACGUAGGACGAACAUAUGACGGUGUUCUUGUUAUUAUUUAAUCACUAUUAUUGAUACUACUACUACUACAUUGUUAUUAUCAGUAUAUUAGGAAUGAUUACUAUAUUUAAAUUGUAUUCUUAGUAUAACAACUAAGUAGUGAUCUAAACAAUAUAAUUGGCGACUGACGGUUGAGUUUCCUCUAUUCUGGGGUACUACUGAAUUAUGUGGUUUUGUUGGCUGACAAGUGUCCCCACAUCAUCUUUAUAAUGUGUUCAUAUAUUAUUAAAUUACUUUUUACUUGGUAACAUUUUCGUUUUAACUUUUAAAGGCAUAUUUUAGAAUGGGAGAUUUAUCUAUAAGACUAUGUUUGCUUAUAAGAAAGUUUAUGAGAAAAUGCGAAGGAGAGAAAAUAAAAGGGAAGAAAAAUAAAAAAUAAAUUAUUUUUGGAUGUUAUUUCAAACUCAAUUUACUUAUUUUCUUUCUUUUAUAUAAAAAUUAAACAAUUUAAAAAUAUAUAAAUUUCUAACUAAUUUUAAUUAUAUUUCAAUUUUUUUUACAAUGAAAUCAAAUACGAGAAAAUCAUUUUCCUUAAAAAUAUAUAAAUUUCUAACUAAUUUUAAUUAUAUUUGAAUUUCUUUUGUAUUUUUUAUAAUGAAAUUAAAUAUGAAAAAAUAAUUUUCUUUAAUAUAUUUUUUCUUCUUAACAAUUUUUAGAACCAACAUAGCUUAAAAGUUUUAAAAGGAAUUGAAAAUAUAAUUUUUUUUUCUUUUUCACCUUUUGAAUUCAAGAAUUUUAGUCAAGAAAAAACAAAUUCAAUAAAAGCUAUCAAGGUUUAUCAUAGAUAAUCUUCGACUUUUUUUUAGCAAUAUAAUGAUUAAAAAUAAAAAUAAUUGAAGGGGUUGUUCUCAUUAUACAAUUAAUUCAAUUUAUAUUUUAAAAAAAAUUAUAUUUAAAGUAAUUUUAAGAAUUUUAUCCAAACACUCUUAAAAAUUGAUUUUUACCAUUUAAGGGUUUAAGAAGUUGGAAAUUCUCUCAAGCUUUAAAAUUGGUGUAAUGAGUAGAUUCAUAUUACUUAAGUUUAAAAAUUGUUUAAGACCUUUUGCUAAAAGUAUAUAUUUAAGUUUUUAUUUUUGGGUUCUUCCACAAUUGAUUAUCUAUACCAUUGGGCCUAUAUGUACUUUGACUAAAUAGGUAUUUUGAGUUUGAUACAAAUAUUUGAAAAACUUAGGGCUUGUUUGGUUGGUGUUUUUAAAAACUACUUUUUGUUUUUGAGAACAAAAAACACAGAAACCACGUUUGAUAGAAUAUUUUCUAUUCUCAAGUGUUCUCCGCGUUUUUUAAGGCCCAAUUUUAGAGAAAAAAAAUGGUGUUUUUCAUGUUUUUGCCAUUAUUCUAAAAAAAAUAAAAAUGAUGCUCUUCUUGUUUUCAAUCAGUGUUCUUGCGUGGUUUCGCCUCUUCUUUAUACUAUGAGGGAAAAUUUUUUGCAUUGUGAGGAAAAAUCAGAAAAUCGGUCUAACAAAAAUUCAACCCAAAAUUCAACAUUAUCUGAUUUUUUUCAUUUUUUUGGUCAUUCUAUUUCAAUAUUUUAGAAUUUUAUCCCCAUAUGAUUUUUUAGAUGCAUUUCAAAGCCAAAGCCUCCAUAAAUUCUAGGAUUUUUCUUAAACCAAACAAAACAUAAACAAUAACACAAAAGACCAAGAACGCAAAAAAAAAAAAAAAAAAAAAAAAAAAAAAAAAAAAAAAAAAAAAUUA